GGAACUGUGCCCGAAUACUAAGGAAUACUUUGAUAGAGUAAAUAAUGGGGGUUAAAGUCCCCCCAGCUCCU
Molecule: transfer RNA, 71 nt
Filed under: Phoxocampus belcheri
Lineage: Eukaryota; Metazoa; Chordata; Actinopteri; Syngnathiformes; Syngnathidae
Description: tRNA-Ile
Rfam family: tRNA
About the family: Transfer RNA (tRNA) molecules are approximately 80 nucleotides in length. Their secondary structure includes four short double-helical elements and three loops (D, anti-codon, and T loops).
Source: RNAcentral